GGAGGAUGAGGCUUGAAAUUUAGCCCAAGUUCUGCUCAUAAACCUUGGCCCUGACCCUGGCUACAUUGCACAAAUUCUACAAGCCAAGAUGUGUCUAUGAAGCUGACGCUAACCAGAGGCGGAAGAGCAUUACAAAUUGAGUGAAGCUCCUAGUUGGGUUAACGGCAGCCCUGGCCCCAGGAUCUCAAAAGCAGCCUGAAAAGCAGAUGAUGACAAUGGAACAUGGAUAUGCAGCCCCUGGGGCGAACCUGAGUGUUUGAAAUGCAUGGCAACAAUGUUUAAUUCAUGGCAACAAUGAAUCAGUGCUCUAAGGAAGAAAGAAGUGAAUGGCAAGAUUGCACUUGCCCUCACAGGACUGCCAGCCAGAAACUACAUUUCCCAGCAUCCCUUGCAGCUUGGUAUGGCCAUGUGACCACAUUCUCAUUAAUACAGGGUGAGUGUGCCACAUCCAACUCUUUUGUUCAAAAGAAAUUGCUUUUCCACUUUCUGGAAGCUUUUGAUGUAGUUUUGAGCAUACAGAAGAGGGCUGGUUUAUUCUAAGUAUUGGGAACCCCUUCCUAAGGUCAAACUCUGAGGUUUAGGAUGUCAAAGCAUAGGCUUAUCAAAAAAGCUUCUGAUCACACACACACACACACACCGUUAAUGCAACAUUGACUUCCUCUAACAAGGCAAGUAGGGAGAGAGACGAUAGCGGGAGAGAUCUGGCUGGUCAGUCUUUCUCUGCCUCCUUUGCUGCUGACCCCAGGCAGUGUGUCUAUGACCUCAGCUAGCAAGAUUAUUUUCUCUUGUCCAUAGAAGGAGGUUGGACUCUCCCCCAUACUGCAUGUCAAAAACUGUAAAAGCCAGGUCAGCAUUCUUCAAAAAGAUUUAUGAGAUCAAUGCUCCGUGCUCAGUAACAGUAGAGCAGAGCAGUCUGGACUUCUAUGCAAAACCUUUCCUUAGAGAACUGGGGGUUACAGCAGCAAGCAGAACUGGGGGUUACAGUAUUAGCUUAGAUACACAUUGGUGCCUCCACAGGCUUUCUUUCCAAUGCAGACAACUUGUUUACACUGCUUGCUUUUUGAGUAUAAACAUUAAAAAAACUUUUCUUUGUUUCUUUUUUUUUUUUUUUGAGACAGGAUCACAGGAUCUCAGGAUCUCACUCUGUCACCCAGGUUGGAGUGCACUGAUGUGAUCUCAGCUCACUGCAACCUCUGCCUCCCAGGCUCAAGUGAUCCUCCUACCUCAGCCUCCAGAGUAGGUGGGACUACAGGUGCAUGCCACCCUGCCUGGCUAAUUUUUGUAUUUUUUGUAGAGACAGGGUUUUGCCAUGUUGCCCAGGCUGGUCUCGAACUCCUGAGCUCAGGUGAUCCACCCACCUUGGUCUCCCAAAGUGCUAGGAUUACAGUCAUGAGCCACUGCACCCA
This is a long non-coding RNA of Homo sapiens (human), 1406 nucleotides long. RefSeq lists it as uncharacterized. The record is from RefSeq and is a predicted model, not a curated record. Lineage: Eukaryota; Metazoa; Chordata; Mammalia; Primates; Hominidae. The transcript is spliced from 3 exons.